CGACGUGUCCCUGCAGGAAGAUCCCUUUUCCUGCCUAUCAAACCUCAUUGGAGACAUGCCCCUGGAAGAAGGCUCCCUUUUGGCCCUUCUGUAUGAGAGUGACGACGUGUCCCUGCAGGAAGAUCCCUUUUCCUGCCUUGCGGACUUCAGUCAAUACUUUUCCCCGGGAGAGUUUAUGUUUUCAUCUAUGUUAGGAGAGAUUGAGUUUCCUGAAUCCUAAGGGAAACCAGACACGGGAAGAGUCGGUGAAACCCUCCACACACCUUCUUCAGGAUAUUUGACAUGUACAGGUAAGCCCAAAAGUAUUCAUACCCAUGCCACCUUUUGAGCCACAGUGAAUUUGUAUUUGACCAACAGGUUUCUUCUGGUAUAUGAAUAAAGUUUCCUUAAAAUAAAUAGUUUAUAUCUCCAGCACAAUCGUCAAAUACAAAUUCACUAUGGCAAGGGG
Long non-coding RNA from Esox lucius (northern pike), 448 nucleotides. The record is from Ensembl. NCBI's taxonomy places the organism in Eukaryota, Metazoa, Chordata, Actinopteri, Esociformes, Esocidae.